UGAAUACGAGACGCUAAGGCGUCGAAGUAGUGUAUGUCAUACUUCCAAGAAAAGCUUGCACUGUCAUAGAUAAAAAACGCCUGUACCAUAACCGACACAGGUGGGUAGGUAGAGUAUACUAAGGGGCGCGAGAUAACUCUCUCUAAGGAACUCGGCAAAAUAACUCCGUAACUUCGGGAGAAGGAGUGCCUUAUUCGUAGGGUUGCAAUAACAAGAUCCAAGCAACUGUUUAUCAAAAACACAGGUCUCCGCUAAGUCGUAAGACGAUGUAUGGGGGCUGACGCCUGCCCAGUGCCAGAAGGUUAAAGAAGUUGGUUAGCAAUUGCGAAGCUGAUAACUGAAGCCCUGGUGAACGGCGGCCGUAACUAUAACGGUCCUAAGGUAGCGAAAUUCCUUGUCGGGUAAGUUCCGACCCGCACGAAAGGCGUAAUGAUUUGGAUACUGUCUCGGAGAGGGGCUCGGUGAAAUAGACUUGUCUGUGGAGAUGCGGACUACCUGCACCAGGACAGAAAGACCCUAUGAAGCUUUACUGUAACUUGAAAUUGAAAUUGGACUUUAUUCGCGCAGUAUAGGUGGGAGGCGUUGAUUAUAAUCUUGUGGGAUUAUUGGAGCCAUCAGUGAGAUACCACUCUUGUAAUGUUAGAUUUCUAACUUUGAAUCAUUAUCUGGUCAAAGAACAGUUUCAGGCGGGCAGUUUGACUGGGGCGGUCGCCUCCUAAACGGUAACGGAGGCGUACAAAGGUUUCCUCUGAACGGUUAGAAAUCGUAUCUAGAGUGUAAAGGCAUAAGGAAGCUUGACUGUGAGACCUACAAGUCGAGCAGGGACGAAAGUCGGUCUUAGUGAUCUGACGGUACUGAGUGGAAAGGCCGUCACUCAACGGAUAAAAGUUACUCUAAGGAUAACAGGCUGAUCUCCCCCAAGAGUUCACAUCGACGGGGAGGUUUGGCACCUCGAUGUCGGCUCAUCGCAUCCUGGGGCGGUAGUACGUCCCAAGGGUUGGGCUGUUCGCCCAUGAAAGCGGUACGCGAGCUGGGUUCAGAACGUCGUGAGACAGUUCGGUCCAUAUCCGGUGUAGGCGUUAGAAUAUUGAGAGGAGCCUUCUUUAGUACGAGAGGACCGAGAAGGACAUACCUCUGGUGUACCAGUUAUCGUGCCAACGGUAAACGCUGGGUAGCUAUGUAUGGAGUGGAUAACCGCUGAAAGCAUCUAAGUGGGAAGCCCACCUCAAGAUAAGUAUUC
Molecule: ribosomal RNA, 1240 nt
Filed under: metagenome
Description: bacterial LSU rRNA
Rfam family: Bacterial large subunit ribosomal RNA
Source: RNAcentral